RNAcentral lists this ribosomal RNA (274 nucleotides) under uncultured bacterium. RNAcentral describes it as "partial 16S ribosomal RNA". It matches the Rfam family "Bacterial small subunit ribosomal RNA", at positions 523 to 796 of the family's 1533-position model. The record is from RNAcentral.
AUACAGAGGGCCCAAGCGUUAAUCGGAAUUACUGGGCUUAAAGGGUGCGUAGGCGGGUCUGUAAGUGCUUUGUGAAAUCCCACGGCUCAACCGUGGAACUGCUUGGUAGACUGCAGAUCUUGAGGUUGGUAGGGGCUGCCGGAACUCUAGGUGUAGCGGUGAAAUGCGUAGAUAUCUAGAGGAACACCAAAGGUGAAGACAGGCAGCUGGGCCAAUCCUGACGCUGAGGCACGAAAGCGUGGGUAGCGAACGGGAUUAGAAACCCUAGUAGUCC